AACGAACGCUGGCGGCAUGCCUAACACAUGCAAGUCGAACGAGACCUUCGGGUCUAGUUGCGCACGGGUGCGUAACGCGUGGGAACCUGCCCUUAGGUUCGGAAUAACUCCCCGAAAGGGGUGCUAAUACCGGAUAAUUUCUUCGGACCAAAGAUUUAUCGCCUUUGGAUGGGCCCGCGUUGGAUUAGCUAGUUGGUAGGGUAAAAGCCUACCACGGCGACGAUCCAUAGCUGGUCUGAGAGGAUGAUCAGCCACACUGGGACUGAGACACGGCCCAGACUCCUACGGGAGGCAGAAGUGGGGAAUAUUGGAAAAUGGGCGAAAGCAUGAUCCAGCAAUGGCGCGUGAGUGAUGAAGGCCUGAGGGUUGUAAAGCACUUUUACCCGGGAUGAUAAUGACAGUACCGGGAGAAUAAGCACCGGCUAACUCCGUG
RNAcentral lists this ribosomal RNA (433 nucleotides) under uncultured bacterium. Its description in RNAcentral is "partial 16S ribosomal RNA". It matches the Rfam family "Bacterial small subunit ribosomal RNA", at positions 29 to 507 of the family's 1533-position model. The record is from RNAcentral.